This 437-nucleotide ribosomal RNA is filed under the name Paracidovorax avenae. RNAcentral's name for it is "bacterial SSU rRNA". It matches the Rfam family "Bacterial small subunit ribosomal RNA", at positions 31 to 470 of the family's 1533-position model. The record is from RNAcentral. Lineage: Bacteria; Pseudomonadati; Pseudomonadota; Betaproteobacteria; Burkholderiales; Comamonadaceae.
GAACGCUGGCGGAAUGCUUUACACAUGCAAGUCGAGCGGCAGCGCGGGGCAACCUGGCGGCGAGCGGCGAACGGGUGAGUAAUACAUCGGAACGUGCCCAGACGUGGGGGAUAACUACUCGAAAGAGUGGCUAAUACCGCAUACGAUCUAAGGAUGAAAGCGGGGGAUCGCAAGACCUCGCGCGUUUGGAGCGGCCGAUGGCAGAUUAGGUAGUUGGUGGGGUAAAGGCUUACCAAGCCCGCGAUCUGUAGCUGGUCUGAGAGGAUGAUCAGCCACACUGGGACUGAGACACGGCCCAGACUCCUACGGGAGGCAGCAGUGGGGAAUUUUGGACAAUGGGCGAAAGCCUGAUCCAGCCAUUCCGCGUGCAGGAUGAAGGCCCUCGGGUUGUAAACUGCUUUUGUACAGAACGAAAAAGCUCUUUCUAAUACAGAGAG